UGGGGAAUAUUGCACAAUGGGCGCAAGCCUGAUGCAGCCAUGCCGCGUGUAUGAAGAAGGCCUUCGGGUUGUAAAGUACUUUCAGCGGGGAGGAAGGCGAUAAGGUUAAUAACCUUGUCGAUUGACGUUACCCGCAGAAGAAGCACCGGCUAACUCCGUGCCAGCAGCCGCGGUAAUACGGAGGGUGCAAGCGUUAAUCGGAAUUACUGGGCGUAAAGCGCACGCAGGCGGUCUGUCAAGUCGGAUGUGAAAUCCCCGGGCUCAACCUGGGAACUGCAUUCGAAACUGGCAGGCUAGAGUCUUGUAGAGGGGGGUAGAAUUCCAGGUGUAGCGGUGAAAUGCGUAGAGAUCUGGAGGAAUACCGGUGGCGAAGGCGGCCCCCUGAACAAAGACUGACGCUCAGGUGCGAAAGCGUGGGGAGCAAACA
RNAcentral lists this ribosomal RNA (427 nucleotides) under uncultured bacterium. Its description in RNAcentral is "partial 16S ribosomal RNA". It matches the Rfam family "Bacterial small subunit ribosomal RNA", at positions 355 to 774 of the family's 1533-position model. The record is from RNAcentral.